AAGGCCUUCGAGUCGACUCAAGCCCAAUCUGAGUCGACUCAAGUUCCAACGACUAGUUCUAUAGAAAUUUUAGAAUGAUCUAGAAAUACUUCUAACAACUAUUUUUUAGAUUUCAAUAGCUAGAAAUAAUUUUUUAAGGUUCCAAAUAGUGGUUUUAAGUCUCUAACAACUGUUUGAAGUGACAAGACAUGAGAAUCAAGGUGAAGAAGCAAAAAUCAAGUGCAAA
Molecule: long non-coding RNA, 226 nt
Filed under: Elaeis guineensis (African oil palm)
Lineage: Eukaryota; Viridiplantae; Streptophyta; Magnoliopsida; Arecales; Arecaceae
Description: long non-coding RNA (EGUI_LNC032108)
Source: RNAcentral